This 210-nucleotide ribosomal RNA is filed under the name Klebsiella pneumoniae. Its description in RNAcentral is "partial 16S ribosomal RNA". It matches the Rfam family "Bacterial small subunit ribosomal RNA", at positions 1022 to 1232 of the family's 1533-position model. The record is from RNAcentral. Lineage: Bacteria; Pseudomonadati; Pseudomonadota; Gammaproteobacteria; Enterobacterales; Enterobacteriaceae.
GGGAACUGUGAGACAGGUGCUGCAUGGCUGUCGUCAGCUCGUGUUGUGAAAUGUUGGGUUAAGUCCCGCAACGAGCGCAACCCUUAUCCUUUGUUGCCAGCGGUUCGGCCGGGAACUCAAAGGAGACUGCCAGUGAUAAACUGGAGGAAGGUGGGGAUGACGUCAAGUCAUCAUGGCCCUUACGACCAGGGCUACACACGUGCUACAAUG